AGGAGCUCCAAAUACAUUGUGAUCAGGUGUGUAACACAGGGAAGCUUCUGACCAGCUAUUUCUGAUCUGACCAGCACCGGUACCCACAGAAGUAAAGAUAGGGCAGCGCAGAUCUCCUCGAGGGGAGCCCAGAGCCCCAGAAAGUGCACACCACUACAGCUGCCAAGGACUCGGCUUCCAGGGCUACCCGAACUUGUUACGUCAAAGCUGUCGCUGAUGGAUCCCUACAGUCACUGCGAGUCUCUAAAAUCAUGCUUCUUAUGUCCACGACAUCCAACCCCUUCAAAAUGGUUAAGGAGCAGGAGAGGACCAUGAAUUUAACUUUUAGGGGAAAAUGGUGGCUGUACAGUUUUGGUGAAUGAAGUCUUUCAACCUGAGACAAAUAAAUCAUCUAAGAAUUGCUCUGUCCUUUUGAUGUGCCUCAAGCAGCUACAACCCAGACUCUCCCUGGAAUACCAGAACAAGUCAUGCAUCCUCCAUUAUAUAACGUGUUGAAUCCUGUAUCAUGGAAAAUCCUUCAUUCACCUAACCAACUCUUGGACCACAGCUGGACUGGAAGUGAAGUUCUGGACUACCUUGCUUGCUUGGUCAUGCACUUCAGCUCUUCCCUAAAGAAAUGGCAUUUUAACAUAGGUCUGAUAUCAGUUUUGUAAACUGCAGCCAAGUCCAGUUGCCAUUAAACACAUCAGUGUUCCUCUUUAACAAUAUUCUUUGAAAAUAUCUUAUGCCAGUUGUGUUUUUCAAUUGGUUACACUUUAAAUUUUUAAUGGAGAUUGUUUCCAUCUGCAGCAAUAUAUAUCAUAGUAACAUAAACAGGUUUUCCAAAGACUUUUUUUUGGAAAAUGCACCGUGUUGCCUAAAACACUGUUUAUUGCUCGAUAGAUUUCCUGUGGAUUUUUGAUUUCUAUGGCACAUCUAUGAAUUCUGUACAAAGAAUACAAAGACUGAAAUUUUGGGGAAAAAAAAGAGAAAAGACAAGGAAUCGCUACACAUCAUUCGUCUGCUAGGGUUAAUUUUGCACUAACUGGUGACAGGGUGUAUUGAAUAAGUGAUAUAAAUUUAAGGCCAAAUUCACUGCUCAGUUAAAUGGAUGAAACUUCACUGAUACUACUAGAGCUUUAAUGACUUAAAUCAACAGAGAGAAUAGGCCUUUGUUCUAUGAGGUUCUUCUAACAAUUCACACGUGACAUGUGAAUUGUUAAAGUGAAUUAAAAUCCUUAAAGACAGCAACCAUUUUAAUUUAGUUCCUCCUAGCAUUUAAGAACCCAUAAAAGUUGUCCCAUGGAGAAAAAGGAGAAACUAUUGCUAUGUCUGUAUUUAAUGUUGUGUGCUAAGAGGUUUUCAAGAGAGGGUCUGAGCAUUCAAUCCUGAUUUAUUUACUAGAAGUCAAAUAUUUCUAAUAUGACUUUUGCAAAGACACUUCUGCCAGCUGGUCUGUACGCUGUUCAGAGGUUGGUAGUGUGCUGUGUUGUAUUCCAGAAGCAUCUCAUAUCCUCUCCUCUUUCCUCCCUUUAGGCCACCAAAUCUCAGCUAGUGAGGUGUGUUUUACUGGAGAAGCAUGAUAAUGUUAAAGAUGAGGCAUGACACGGAGCCCAAGCUAAUACACUUUGCUGUGUUUAUUAGUAUGGUCUCCGCUCCAGCGCUGUUAGGGUGGUGGGAGUGGGAGGGGUUGGGAAGAGGAGAAUGGAAAAAAAUUGACCUUGGCUGUAGUGUGGGAACUGGGCAAGACAAGAGGAGUGUGCUGCUGGGUGGAGGGGAGAGGAGUCCAAACAGAUGAGAGAAAUCCUGCUGCAAUGACACAGCUGGGUCAACAUAACUGCCCUGAAUGACGGGCUGGAGAAGGGUGGAGUAUUACUCUGCAGAAUAGAGGAUACCAUUCCUAUAUGAACGACUGUGAAGCACCUCUAAAAGGAAAGAAGCUCUUUGCCUUACAGAGUGACCAGAUAUCUGUAAUCAUUUCAGCAUCUAAAUUAGAGAGGCAAGAAAAUGAAGCAAUGCAGUGUCAUUCUGAACUUCCUUACGAUAUGUAAAUUAAUCUGCAUUUUUAAAUUAGAACACAUUACUCUUCUUUGGCAAAAGCCUGUAUCAUAACCCGUGAUAAUUAUGACAGGCCUGAAUCUCUCUUCUGCCCAUGAAGUCGGGGCAGAUAAAAAAUAUAUUGGAGUACCUAACAUAUCUGUUAGAAGAGUACAACAUGCCUAGAUAUGACAUGAAGAAUCAUAAGAAACAUAGAAAGCUAAUUAAUAAAUGCUGAAUGAAUAUAUCUGAAAGGGAGAGGGGAAGCAAUGAAAGCCGAAGUGGAAGGCUGGCUUGUGACACUAGAAGCAGCAAAGAAUUAGUAGUGGUUGUGGAAGUGCUAUGGAUCCUACUUGCAGUGGCCUCUAAUGCCAGUGAAAGUGUCUUGCUCCUAGGAGUUGGCUGUCGUUGGCCCACAGUAAGCUAUUACACUUCUGGCCUGGCAUAGGACCCAUCUGCCCCACCACAGCAAAUCAUCUAGCAGGCCAGAGCCAGCAGAAUAGAUAUCUAGGAGUUGUACAGAGCUUUUUCCACAGUGGUAAUUCCCUUCGUGCUGUCAGUAUGUAUUGGAAAUUGCAGCAGAUUAUAGUCCCUGCUGAGAAAAAAAGGUUGGCUCUCAACAAUCCUGAAAAAAGAGAAAGCAAUAGGUAUAACUGAAACCUCUUUGAAGUCCUUUUAAUGUGAAAUCUUCAUCUGCAGCUGCUGACUCAGGCCUUGACUUUUAUUGUUGCCUAUUCUGCAGUUAUUCUUGCAUCCAAUAGCUGGAGCAACCCUAAGCAAACACACAGCACGGGGUCAGAACUAAUGUCAGCUGAGGAAAACCAUUGCUGAGAAUCAGUUCAACAACAUCAGCCCUGGUCUUCUCAGCAGUUGCUUCCUCACCACUUGCAGGAGCAAGUCUGCCGUAUUCUCAAAGACCCAGCUGGACAUUGGUUCCUUUACUCUCCACUGCAAUGUGCAGGAACUCCUAUAUCCUUGCCAUCUCAGUAUAGAUCACCUUAUUUUACUUGCUUGCUUAGCAGUAGAAGAGGAAAGAAAAAUUCACAUUUCCUUUUCCUUGUGCUGUCCAAUAGAAUCAUUAAAAAGUCAUCGUGUGUAAUAACAUAAAGAAGUUGUGACAUUCAUCUGUCAUCACAGUAUCAAAUUUUAUCUUUGUAUUUGCACAAGUAUGAUUUAUUGUUUGCCAUAUCCUUCAAACAUGUCUCAUUAGGAUCACGUAGACUACAUUGCUCCUGUAGUAUGUGGUACAUGUCAUCUUCCUCCUUUGCUUCCUACCUAUUUUGAAAAAUCUUGGGCAGGCUUCUCUCAGCACUGGUAAUAUGUUAACAACACAGAAACGUUGUUUGAAGACAGAGCUCCCCUCAAGCUAUAGAUCUGUUAUGCUGAGUCCAGAAAACUGCAUCUAAUUAGCAUCCUUCCUGAUCUCUCUAAUCUUCCUGGCUUGAUUCUCCCAUACAUUAUACUUAGACCAAAAGCCAUCCCCUGUUUCACUCUGAAUAUGGCCAGCUUUAAAUCCUAAUAACAGAUAUGAUCUUUGGCCAAUACAUUUCUCAAAUAACAUGAAGCCCUCUGAAUCCAACACAAGUUUCUUCAAGGUGGUCUUCACAAUGUUAACCUAACCCAAACAAGACUAGUGUAGUGGCUGCUAUUUUUGACCUUAAACUGGAUAUUUCUGUUUUUGAAGUAUUUGUAACAAUGUUGUCAAUGUUAUCCAAAAGCAUUGUAAAAUCUUGGCUUCACUGAGAGUCAAAUGUAUUCCAUGGCAAGUGUUCCAAAUUAUGAUGCAAAAUCCCAAGAGAGUUAUAAAUAAAUAAGAUUUUUUCAUCUGUUUGCUCCUGAUCUUUUACAAGUAUGCUAGGAGUACUUUCUGAGACUGCCUUCAAAACCAGAAAGGUUUAAAAUUGACUGAUUCUUCUAAAUGAAAGCUGAGAGUCUCAAAUAAUCACCUGACCCUAGGAAUUGAGCAGUGCAGAAAAAGAACACUGGCUAUCAAGAAGCAAGAAAAAAUUGCAAAAUUUGAUAACUGCAUAGCAAAUCAAAACAUUAGGUUAAUUGCUUUUGAAUGGGGAAGAAACUGAAAUUAUCAGUUUUUACUUGUUUGUAAUUGAUUAUUUAUGUGUGUAGAGUAUAACUGUAGUUUAAGUAAUGAUUACUGCUAUUCAUUUAGUUGGAAACUGACUAAAUGUUUCUUCAGGUACACUGACCCUCUGCUUUCUGAUGAUUUUCUAAUAUUAGGGAUCUCUAUCCUCUUCUGUCACACACUGAAAAACAAAUUGGAAAUUGUAUCAUCUGUUUUUAAUUUUCUGCAAAAUAGGUACCUUUAAUUACAGAUCCUUGAAAAUUUCCGAAGGAAAAAAUCAUUUAUUGGUGUUGGGCUUCUUUGUAUUUUUAAGAAAUAAAACACUGUUCAAGGAAA
Dromaius novaehollandiae (emu) is the source of this 4432-nucleotide long non-coding RNA. RefSeq lists it as uncharacterized. The transcript is spliced from 4 exons. The record is from RefSeq and is a predicted model, not a curated record. Lineage: Eukaryota; Metazoa; Chordata; Aves; Casuariiformes; Dromaiidae.